Molecule: ribosomal RNA, 482 nt
Filed under: uncultured bacterium
Lineage: Bacteria
Description: bacterial SSU rRNA
Rfam family: Bacterial small subunit ribosomal RNA
Source: RNAcentral
UUGAACGCUGGCGGCAUGCUUUACACAUGCAAGUCGAACGGUAACAGGGAGCUUGCUCCGCUGACGAGUGGCGAACGGGUGAGUAAUGCAUCGGAACGUACCCAGUCGUGGGGGAUAACGUAGCGAAAGUUACGCUAAUACCGCAUACGUCCUGAGGGAGAAAGCGGGGGACCGUAAGGCCUCGCGCGAUUGGAGCGGCCGAUGUCGGAUUAGCUAGUUGGUGGGGUAAAGGCUCACCAAGGCGACGAUCCGUAGCGGGUCUGAGAGGACGACCCGCCACACUGGAACUGAGACACGGUCCAGACUCCUACGGGAGGCAGCAGUGGGGAAUUUUGGACAAUGGGGGCAACCCUGAUCCAGCCAUUCCGCGUGAGUGAAGAAGGCCUUCUGGUUGUAAAGCUCUUUCAGCAGGAGCGAAACGGUCGUUUUUAAUACAGACGGCUAAUGACGGUACCUGCAGAAGAAGCACCGGCUAACUACGU